Molecule: long non-coding RNA, 3272 nt
Filed under: Homo sapiens (human)
Lineage: Eukaryota; Metazoa; Chordata; Mammalia; Primates; Hominidae
Description: long independently transcribed non-coding RNA 1450 (LINC01450)
Source: RNAcentral
ACUCACCUAGGAAGUGGUAGGAUUGAGAUUUGAAUUUGGAAGCCUUACCUGAGGAUUUUUCACUUAACCAACUACGCUACACUUUUAACAGUCCCUUUUCCCCGCAAAGACUUCCAAAAAGAAAGCUAGGUAUCCUCUUUUAGGGUAUAUUUUUGUCUCCAAAAUUUCCCUUAUACCAAUGGAUAAGAAAAAAAGUGACUUGAUUUCAGGUUCCAGGUGCUUGGAUUUAUUCUUCUUCUUAAAAUGUCUCUGAGUAGUGGGACAGAAAUUUCCCCACCCUUCUCCUCAUGAAGCUGUGUAGACAGGCCACAAAAGAAAAGAGCAACUGACUUUCCCAUUUCUACAUGACUUGACCAUGUCACCAACACCUGUGUCAAAAGGAAGUUUCACCAGAUGCAGUCAGGCCUCCGCAGGGGCUGCUGAGCCGCAGUGUCUCCAGGAAGACCCGCUGAUGAGUCACACUCCAAUCCACUCAUCAGACCACCGUGCUGCUGGCCUUCUGUUGUCUGGUAAGAGCCAGAGCACUUGGAGAAAAAUGCAAAUGCGUCUUUAGUACCUACAUAAAGUUUUACAGAAAUAUGCAAAUAAGACUUAAAGCUGUGGACAAGAAGAGGAAUUGAUCCCAAAUCUCAUCAGCUAUGGCAAGGAUAACAUCCCUGCCUCUGGGAGCCUGGCAGCACCUUUUGCAUACUGGUGAGAUUGCACUCUGGCCUGUGCAGAAGAGGAGGCUACUGGAUAGCAUGAGACUCUGUGGUGAUGGGAGAGAGGGCACAGGGUGAGUCUUUUCUCACCCAUUUGGGUAACAAAACAAAGAACCUGAGAAACACCUAAGUUGUGCUUUACAGACUUGAACUCAGAGAAGGAUGAGCUUGGAAAUGCCCAGGGUUCCAUGAUGGUAAGCAUCAAAUUUUUCAAAAGAUGUAAGAAAAGAAAAAUGAAGUCUGAUGCACCCACAAGCACAGCUUUCUGGAUAGUGAACAAAGAGCUAAGAUACACAUCUCUGGGUUCAUUGAAACAACCUCUAGAACAGUUUCACAUAUUUCCUUUUCUCUGUUUCUUUCAGCUCUUUCAACCAAACCAUGAGUCAUUUUCCAAUGUGGCAGUCUAUUCCUCUAUGUUUAAGUCACUUUAGGCAAUUUGUAAACCCAAGUAUGAAGCUUCUAUCGGUCUAGCUUGAAUAGAAGCAUUAACGGAGUGCUUAACCUUUAGACAACUCUUUUGUGAAGGCUGGACAACAGACGGCUUGAUAUUAUCUUUUCAGUAGGGACACGGAAGACCAGUGGUGUGAUGAGGUAGUUGAAGGCAGAUGUGUUGUCCUGAACCAGAUAUAUCUCAACCACAGGACACGGAUCUGCCAAAACCAAUUUAACAGGUGGGCAGCUGUUACUCGCCUCCCACCGCCUCACAGAGUUAGGCUCUGAGCGUGAACGCAGACAACUUUUGUCACAGGAAUUUAUUCCCAGCAUAUGAAUAAGAGAGUCUCCUUAAGAGAGUCUUUAACUUCUUAAGGGCAAAAGAGGACAGUCAAUUACCAGAAAGAAAACAUUGCUAUUAUAUGAUCACUCAUGAAUGUCCAGAGGAUGAUAUGUAACAGCUUUGUUUUCUAUUUUUCCAUCAAUGCAGAAUCCUUCUCAGGAGCCCUCUCCUCUGGUCUCCUUUCACUAUCUCUGUGUCCUGCUUACCUUCUCCCAGAACCCUGGCUCUCAAUCUGUUGUUCCAUUUAGUUUUACCACCUGUAAAAUUUCUGUGAAAUCCACAGGGUCCUAUUGGUUUUGAAACUAGCUUUAGGUUCUUCAAAACUCAAACAUGUUCAACCUUUGUCUUACUAAUAGUGCCCACUUUUUAUUGAAUGAUUGUGAUGGCCUAUGCAGUCCUAUGCAAAUAGAGAUACUUAUUUUUUUAAAAAGGGUUUCUGUGUAAAAGAGUGGUGAGGCAGAAGAGAGUGACAAUGCGGGGGAAACACCCUGAAACCUGCCUUGUGGUAUUUGAAACUAGGCCAUUACAAUGACUGAAUUCUUACCAUUUUUUUUAGAUUUUCAACCAACAGUCUUCUUUCAUUCAUGAUAUCAGCAAAUUAACAAAGUGCAGCUAAUGUAAAUAACUUUCAUUUUCCAUUGUCCAUUUUAAAACAAAGAGGUCAUUCUCUGAUAGUAGAUGCAUAGAUGGUAUGUUCUACAUCAGUUUUUGUUUUGUUUUCCAAAUAGUCUGUUUUGUCUUUCAGAGGUAGAAUUACCAAAUCUCUGAAACUUAAAUCAACCCAAAGACAAAAGUAUGUUUUAUUUUGUUUCAUUUGUUUUAGUAUGAAUAUAUAGUACUUUAAAAGAAACAUCAUAUACAACUCGAUUAAUAUGAAUUCAUAAUGUUGACAUUAGAAAUAGGCCAACAAUCAUUCUAAAGUGAAACCAUCUUUAUUUUGAAAAUUACCAAAUAUUUUCUACUUUUUAAGUUAUUAUUAAUAUAUAACUCUGCCUAUUUUUUCAGAGUAAUUGACGAAGGUAAGACUAAAACAAAUGAAUUAAUGAAUAAAGGAAAAAAGAAAGAAAGAAGAGGCAGGUGAUACAAGGAUGCAAAUACACAGGCCCAUAUAGGCUUACAUUGCUGCAAACAUAGUUAAAUUUGGCUCUUAGCCCCCUGGCAGUCAAAGCAAAAGAGGGGAGAUAUGGUCAGUUGCAUAGUUCUUAUUAUUAGAUGAGAAGAAACAUGCUAGUUCCUCAGGGGAAGCGAAUGUAUUUUUCUUGUACUAAUGUCUCAAGCAAAUCAGGCUGGUGGGGCCUCACAUGGGAAAUGCUGAGUGAUGUUAUACACACUGAACUUAACAGGAGUCCUACAAGCAAGGCUAGAGUCUCCUCCUUAGAAACCAAGGGCACAACCUUAAAAUGCAAUCCAGUUUAGGCAAUUUGUAAACCCAAAUAUGAAGCUCUUAUCGGUCUAGCUUGGGUAGAAGCAUUAACAGAGUGCUUAACCUUUAGACAACUCUUUUGUGAAGGCUGGACAAUAGACAGCUUAAUAUUGCCUUUUCAGUGGGGACAAGGAAGGCCAGUGUUGUGAUGAGGUAGUUGAAGGCUGAUAUGUUGUCCUGAACCGGAUAUCUCAACCACAGCAUAGGGAUCUGCCAAAACCAAUUUAACAGGUGAGCAGCUGUUACUCUCCUACCAACACCCCACAGAGUUAGGCUCUGAGUGUGAGUGCAGACAACUCUUCUAGUAGAAAUUUACUCCCAGCAUAUCAAUAAAGAAUUAAGUAUUCACCUUCAAAAAAAAAAAAAAAAAAAA